RNAcentral lists this ribosomal RNA (460 nucleotides) under uncultured bacterium. RNAcentral describes it as "partial 16S ribosomal RNA". It matches the Rfam family "Bacterial small subunit ribosomal RNA", at positions 338 to 795 of the family's 1533-position model. The record is from RNAcentral.
CCUACGGGUGACUGCAGUGAGGAAUAUUGGUCAAUGGCCGUAAGGCUGAACCAGCCAAGUCGCGUGAAGGAAGAAGGAUCUAUGGUUUGUAAACUUCUUUUAUAGGGGAAUAAAGGUAUCCACGUGUGGCUAUUUGCAUGUACCCUAUGAAUAAGCAUCGGCUAACUCCGUGCCAGCAGCCGCGGUAAUACGGAGGAUGCGAGCGUUAUCCGGAUUUAUUGGGUUUAAAGGGUGCGUAGGUGGUUUUUUAAGUCAGCGGUGAAAGUUUGGGGCUCAACCAUAAAAUUGCCGUUGAAACUGGAAGACUCGAGUGUGUUUGAGGUAGGCGGAAUGCGCGGUGUAGCGGUGAAAUGCAUAGAUAUCACGCAGAACUCCGAUUGCGAAGGCAGCUUACUAAGCCAUAACUGACACUGAAGCACGAAAGCGUGGGGAUCAAACAGGAUUAGAUACCCGGGUAGUC